UGGACGGAACAGUUCCUCGUGUGACGACAGCCACGCCACCAGAUGCGCGAGUGGCGUCUGUUCGAUCUCUUCGAAAUACAUUGUGUCUACGAAUUGGAUUUGGUGUGUGUGUGUUUAAGUAUGUUUCUUGGAGGCAGAAACAUGCUGCAUUGUACUUGUCGAAGAGAUCGUUAAUGUCGUCUAAGUUAGAAAGUAAACCACGGCAGUUCCACUGGAGGAAGUGGUUCAUAACGGUCACACUAAAAAGGAGGAAAAGAAAGCGCAGCACUUGGUGACAACGACUAGAAAGGACUUGUACCAUUUAGGGGGGUUGGACCCUUCGCGGGGGUUGUUUCUGUUGCUCAUUCCCUUUGAAACCCCUUCCUCGUCCUUUUUCUCGUUUUUCCUUCCGUUGUGAAGGAAUGCUGGGGAGGCUCGACGAUGACUUCUGCGACAUGCAGUCAUCAUCAUCGACCUCCAUACUUUGGGUGCCUCUUUGGGAAGGGGUUUUUACGACCCCGUCCCAAACUGAUUGUGUGCCAUCGACCUUAGAGGAGGCCAUGGCUGUUUCUUUGUGGCCAGUUGAACGGCUGGCCUCCGUAACUGCAGGAGUCACCUGAGUGUCUCCAGCCUCCUGUUGGGGAGUGUAGGGUGGGAACUCAGAGACCUGCGAGCAGGUUUGAGUUUCCACAGAUUUCCUUGGUGGUGCCACUCCCCUGCGCACCACUUCGGAGAAAGAUCCUUUCAUUUGAAAUUCGUAUUGUGUCUUUGCAGCUCUGUAAGGAAUGUUUUGUACGGUUUUGAUCUUUAUGAUUUCUUUUUCUUCUUUCCAACGUGGACACGAUCGAGAGUACACCGGGUGGUUGCCCUGGCAGUUGGCACAACGGUACUCAUUGCUGCAAGUCUCUGGCGAAUGGUCUUUGCCAGAGCACUUUGGGCAGGUGGAGUGUCCGCGGCAGACAAGCGAACUGUGCCCAAAAUGCUGGCACUUGAAACAACGUCUUGGGUUUGGAAUGUAUGGUCUGACAUUGCAACUGAGAGACCACGCCCUGCUCACUCAGUCCAUCUUCAAUCUCAGAUUCUGUGCAUUCGAUGAGUUCAUCUUCUGAUAUUACACCUUUGGUUAUGUUCAGUGUGCGGUGUACGUUAACAUUUACAGUGCAGCAGGCGUGUCGCCCACCAUGGAGCCCAACUUGGGGAACGUGCCCCGCACGCUAACACCUACCUCUGCACUAUACCCUAGUGCAGCUUCUGGAGAGUGAAAAGACUGCCCAAGGUUGACCCUUGCCGCCAAAGAAGGUGAAGGGAGGAAAAGGAAGACAGUGAAGGAGUGGAGAAAGAAAAAGUAAUGAAAAGGGAGAUGGCGACUAGCUGAAUAAUCCUGGCCGGGCCUUCCAGGACUACCCGACUAUGGGAAGCAGGGGCCAAAGCGGUGUGUUGCU
Molecule: long non-coding RNA, 1421 nt
Organism: Ornithodoros turicata
Lineage: Eukaryota; Metazoa; Arthropoda; Arachnida; Ixodida; Argasidae
Exons: 3
Source: RefSeq, a predicted model, not a curated record